GCCCGCGUGGCGGAAUUGGUAGACGCCGCGGACUUAAAAUCCGCUGUCCAGUGGACGUCCCGGUUCGAGUCCGGGCGCGGGCACCA
RNAcentral lists this transfer RNA (86 nucleotides) under Magnetococcales bacterium. Its description in RNAcentral is "tRNA-Leu". It matches the Rfam family "tRNA". Rfam says of the family: Transfer RNA (tRNA) molecules are approximately 80 nucleotides in length. Lineage: Bacteria; Pseudomonadati; Pseudomonadota; Magnetococcia; Magnetococcales. The record is from RNAcentral.